RNAcentral lists this long non-coding RNA (617 nucleotides) under Phoenix dactylifera (date palm). RNAcentral describes it as "long non-coding RNA (PDAC_LNC001408)". Lineage: Eukaryota; Viridiplantae; Streptophyta; Magnoliopsida; Arecales; Arecaceae. The record is from RNAcentral.
AUUUAUAGCCUCAUCGGAAGGAAGGGGGAGGGAGAACGGCCACUGUUGAGCGGUUAUAACCGCCUCAACAGCUUCCUUCCCGAAGCUACCACUGUUGGACCUCCAGAUGGGCCACCGACUACGUUCCAGGUUGGCCCAUCUGGACCCAAUAAUUACAUUCUUCCCUCCUUAAAAGAAAUUUCGUCCUCGAAAUUUUUACAUACCCUAAUUCUUAAACAAAUGAAGAUAUUUAGUCUUUUAUCUAAUAUUCUACUAGACUUCUGCUGCGCAACUCUGAUUGAGCCCAAUAUGUCUAAGGCUCAGUCUCAAUUUGUAUUAACUCUAACUUUCUCAUUUAAGUGAAAAGAUUCUUAAACAUAACAUCCAUGAGAAUAGCUUUCCUAAGGGAGACAUCACAUAAAGACUGGUUCAAGCAUUAUAGAGAGUUAGAACCCAAAGGAUACAAAGGGGUCGGAAGAUUUACAAUCAAUUGACACAUAGCCUUCAUGGAAUUAUCUAGAAUGAUACUUGUCACUAUUUGGUCACAAGCAUUCUACUAAAUCAAUGCAAAAGCUGAGCUCCCAAUUCCGUAGGUUCUGAGUCGUUCUUCUUUUUAUUUGGACAGUCUCGUGCCAAAU